Molecule: long non-coding RNA, 929 nt
Organism: Oncorhynchus tshawytscha (Chinook salmon)
Lineage: Eukaryota; Metazoa; Chordata; Actinopteri; Salmoniformes; Salmonidae
Exons: 2
Source: RefSeq, a predicted model, not a curated record
GGGGUCAGGGGUCUAGACUGUAGACUGGUGGGGUCAGGGGUCUAGACUGUAGACUGGUGGGGUCAGGUAGGCGUCAGGGGUCUAGACUGUAGACUGGUGGGGUCAGGUUAGGGGUCAGGGGUCUAGACUGUAGACUGUAGACUGAUUGAGGUGGGGGUCAGAGUCUAUAUAGUGGAUUGAGAUGGGGGUCAGGGUCUAGAUAAUGGAUUGAGGUGGGGGUCAGGUAGGGGUCAGGGUCUAGAUAGUGGAUUGAGGUGGGGGGUCAGGGUCUAGAUAGUGGAUUGAGGUGGGGGUCAGGUAGGGGUCAGGGUCUAGAUCAGGGCUCUCCAACAGGUCGAUCACCAGCUACCAGUAGCUACCAGCCCACCUAUUAGUAGCUCGCCAAAAUAUUCUGAAAGUACAUUCAAUUUCACAGAUCAGAGACACCGCAAGCUCCCAGCUACUAUCUAAUCAAGGCAACAUCGACAUUAUGCCACCCCUGGUUAGCCACUAUUGGAUUAAAAAGCCAAACCUAACACAAUAUCUGCCAAUUCAUUUUCAGCAAUAUGGCGUCCAUCCGUCCGGUGUUUGUCUGUCAUUCAGUGUAACGCCAGUUGAUGUGAUAACUGCCUUGUAGAUUGACAGAAAUACUUUCCCCCAAAACCAUAUAAAAUGUUAACAGUAAAGUAGGCUUACCUAGAAGAAGUACAUCAUUUGUAUCUACCGUUUGUUUUUUGGUAAACUAUGCCAUGAAAUCAGCAGCAGCAGUACUGAACCACCACAGACCGGCACAUUAAAACGGCACAUUCCUUCCUGCACAAUUAAAAGGGAAUUGCACUCCAAAAAUCUAAACGUGUUCGUUUUCUUCCAAACCUAAAAAUAGUUUCUUCUGAUGUGAUUUAAACAUUGACAUGGACUCAGAACAUGCCGUUUUGAGAGUAAAAACGAAA